RNAcentral lists this ribosomal RNA (294 nucleotides) under uncultured bacterium. RNAcentral describes it as "partial 16S ribosomal RNA". It matches the Rfam family "Bacterial small subunit ribosomal RNA", at positions 775 to 1067 of the family's 1533-position model. The record is from RNAcentral.
GGAUUAGAUACCCUGGUAGUCUUAGCUGUAAACGAUGGAUACUAGGCGUUGCUUGUAUCGACCCGAGCAGUGCCGUAGCCAACGCGUUAAGUAUCCCGCCUGGGGAGUACGCACGCAAGUGUGAAACUCAAAGGAAUUGACGGGGGCCCGCACAAGCGGUGGAGUAUGUGGUUUAAUUCGAUGCAACGCGAAGAACCUUACCAGGGCUUGACAUCCCACGAAUUUUGGGGAAACUCAGAAGUGCCUUCGGGAACGUGGAGACAGGUGGUGCAUGGCUGUCGUCAGCUCGUGCUG